This 976-nucleotide unclassified non-coding RNA is filed under the name Hevea brasiliensis (rubber tree). The record is from RNAcentral. Lineage: Eukaryota; Viridiplantae; Streptophyta; Magnoliopsida; Malpighiales; Euphorbiaceae.
GUCCAAUCCCUCAUGAAGAACCUCUCAGUUUUCGAGCGAGCCCUCAUUGGAGCUGGAGGUGGCGGCAUAGCUGGUGCAUUUACUUACGUGUGUCUGCACCCGCUUGAUACCAUCAAAACGAAAUUGCAGACAAAGGGUGCAUCUCAGCUUUAUAGCAGCACACUUGAUGCUGUAGUCAAGACAUUUCAAGAGAAGGGCAUUAUGGGGUUCUAUAGCGGCGUAUCUGCGGUGAUUGUGGGUUCUACAGCCUCUUCAGCUGUGUAUUUUGGGACUUGCGAGUUUGGGAAAUCGAUUUUGUCCAAAUUGGAGAAGUUUCCAUCUGUGCUUAUCCCUCCUACUGCCGGUGCCAUGGGGAAUAUCGUGUCAUCAGCCAUUAUGGUACCCAAAGAAUUGAUAACGCAGCGAAUGCAAGCUGGUGCUAAGGGAAGAUCAUGGGAAGUAUUGUUGAAAAUAUUGGAGAAAGAUGGUAUCGCGGGUCUUUAUGCAGGGUAUUCUGCUACUUUGUUAAGAAAUUUACCUGCUGGUGUGUUGAGUUAUUCUUCAUUCGAGUAUUUAAAGGCUGCAGUAUUGAACAAGACUAAGAAGAGUCAUUUGGAGCCUAUUGAAAGUGUUUGCUGUGGGGCAUUGGCUGGGGCAAUCUCGGCAUCAAUGACGACACCGCUUGAUGUAGUUAAGACAAGGUUGAUGACACAGGUAAAUAAGGAGGUGGUGGAUAAGGUCGCUGCUGUAAUGUAUAGAGGGGUUUCUUCUACUGUGAAACAGAUUAUGAAGCAGGAAGGGUGGGUUGGAUUUACCAGGGGAAUGGGCCCUAGAGUGGUUCAUAGUGCAUGUUUUUCAGCGUUGGGGUACUUUGCAUUUGAGACCGCUAGGCUUACCAUUUUGCAUCAGUAUUUGAAGCACAAAGGGUUUGGUGAAAUGGAUGUUGCUCCUUCUUGAUUGAUGGCUAUGAAUGGAGUAUCAGGCAAUGACUACCGGC